AAUAUAUGAUGAAAAAAAUGUUUCGGUCCCAGAUGAUGUCCAGUGAUAACUCGGCAUUUUUCUGAUGUU
Sciurus vulgaris (Eurasian red squirrel) is the source of this 69-nucleotide small nucleolar RNA. Its record names the gene SNORD73. It matches the Rfam family "Small nucleolar RNA SNORD73". Rfam says of the family: U73 is a member of the C/D class of snoRNA which contain the C (UGAUGA) and D (CUGA) box motifs. The record is from Ensembl. Lineage: Eukaryota; Metazoa; Chordata; Mammalia; Rodentia; Sciuridae.